GAUGAACGCUGGCAGCGUGCCUAACACAUGCAAGUCGAGCGAAGCGCUUAAAUUAGAUUUCUUCGGAAUGACGAUUUUUGUGACUGAGCGGCGGACGGGUGAGUAACGCGUGGGUAACCUGCCUCAUACAGGGGGAUAACAGUUAGAAAUGACUGCUAAUACCGCAUAAGACCCCAGCUUCGCAUGAAGCGGUGGUAAAAACUCCGGUGGUAUGAGAUGGACCCGCGUCUGAUUAGCUAGUUGGUAAGGUAACGGCUUACCAAGGCGACGAUCAGUAGCCGACCUGAGAGGGUGACCGGCCACAUUGGGACUGAGACACGGCCCAGACUCCUACGGGAGGCAGCAGUGGGGAAUAUUGCACAAUGGGGGAAACCCUGAUGCAGCGACGCCGCGUGAAGGAUGAAGUAUUUCGGUAUGUAAACUUCUAUCAGCAGGGAAGAAAGUGACGGUACCUGACGAAGAAGCCCCGGCUAACUACGUG
Molecule: ribosomal RNA, 481 nt
Filed under: uncultured bacterium
Lineage: Bacteria
Description: partial 16S ribosomal RNA
Rfam family: Bacterial small subunit ribosomal RNA
Source: RNAcentral